GCCCUCGUGGUGAAAUGGAUAUCAUUUUUGCCUUCGAAGCAAACGUUCCAGGUUCGAAUCCUGGCGGGGGCG
This 72-nucleotide transfer RNA is filed under the name bacterium. RNAcentral's name for it is "tRNA-Arg". It matches the Rfam family "tRNA". Rfam says of the family: Transfer RNA (tRNA) molecules are approximately 80 nucleotides in length. Their secondary structure includes four short double-helical elements and three loops (D, anti-codon, and T loops). The record is from RNAcentral.